UUGUUCAAGUCAUUCAAAUUUGUGUAGUGAUCAACAACGGACGAAACCAAGCGUUGUUUUGUUUUAAUCAAACCCAUCAAUAAAUAACUUAACAUGCCGCACAGCCUUACUUUAAGUGAAGAACAAAAAACAUUUUAUGAUCGCAACGGGUACAUCGUUAUAAGGGGAUUGAUCGAGUUACCUUUACUAGAGGCCUACAAGAAAAGGUUUUCGGAAUUGUGUCACAAAAGCCAGUUGAGUGCUACAAUAAUAAAGGAAUACUCUCUGGUCGGAAAAAAGCAAAACCCUGAAGACUAUAUUUAUAAGAUCCAGGACAUCCUGUUCGACCCAGUGUACAUGACAUACAGCGAACACCCAGACGUCCUGAACGUGGUGUCGCAGCUUAUCGGAGACCAGCUCACCGCUGUCAACCUGAUGCUCAUCAACAAGCCACCGGAGACCACGAGACAUCCUACUCAUCAAGAUCUGUUCUACUUCCCGUUCCGUCCUGCGGAGAAGAUUAUAGGCGUGUGGACAGCGGUGGACGCGGCCACCGUGCAAAACGGAUGCCUGUUCGUGGUACCAGGCUCUCAUAAAUGCAACCAGCUGCUUAAACAUGGAACAUUUAAAGAUUCAAAGAAGUUCUUCCAUUGCCUUGAAGACGAGGACAACUUGGCCCCGGCGCAGAAGCGAAUGAAUCUCGAGAUGCAGCCCGGGGAUACCGUGUUCUUCCACCCUUACUUGUUCCAUGGGUCAGGUCCUAAUUUGUCUGAAAGUUACCGCAAGGCGUUGACGAUCCAUUACGCGCACAACGCCUGCUACUACAUAGACCUGCGCGGCACCGUGCAGGAACAGCUGGCGGCCGACUUCGACGAGGAGAUGAGAAGACGAGGACACGAGAGCGUGACAUUUGUGGAUCUCUGGAAGUUAAAAAGCAAAGAUCUCGGGAAAAUAAAAAGCCAUUUAUAAGGAUAAAGUUGUAAAAGAUUAUUGCGCGCAUAAAGAAAUGUAUUGAACAAAAUUAAAACGUUUCAUACUGCCACACAGACGCGCCGGAAGACUUUAUUUAUAAUAAGUUAUGAUGUACUUAAUAGGGUGAUUUGAAUGAUUUCUUUUUCAAUAAAGCAAUGUCCCACUGUGGUCCUA
Molecule: unclassified non-coding RNA, 1125 nt
Filed under: Manduca sexta (tobacco hornworm)
Lineage: Eukaryota; Metazoa; Arthropoda; Insecta; Lepidoptera; Sphingidae
Description: probable phytanoyl-CoA dioxygenase, transcript variant X1
Source: RNAcentral